This is a non-coding RNA of Lactuca sativa (garden lettuce), 1508 nucleotides long. The record is from RefSeq and is a predicted model, not a curated record. NCBI's taxonomy places the organism in Eukaryota, Viridiplantae, Streptophyta, Magnoliopsida, Asterales, Asteraceae.
CUCAGCCACAUGUCCAUCUGACAUGUGUCCAUCUCUAGCAAUUCUAUCUAUUUUCUCCCACCUAAUUCAUUAUUCAAUAUAAAAUUCGUAAUCAAAUGUAAUCAAAUCUGUAUCGCUAUAAUUUAAUUUAGCUGCCGAAUUUGGUGUAAUUUCGGUUUUAAUCAUCUCUAUUCCUAAACAUCAGCGAUUAAUUUUUAAAUACAGGGUUCCAUACCAAUUCUUCGUUUAGACCUUCCUUCAUUUUGAUGUUGUCGAUCCUUAAAUCUCGCCAAUCCCUUAUCUUUCUUCGUUAUUUCCUUUUUUUCAACCCUAAUCUUCUUUGUCCUCUUUAUUAAUGGCUGCGUUUGCAAGGACCCCAGCUUCUCAGAUUAGUGAUAUCGCUAUUUCAAGGUUUGUAAUUUUUCAAGUUCGUAAUAAUCUUCUUGAUAGCAACUAUUUCCUCUUUGACUUUUAAUUCAAAAUUUGAAGCUUUGGAUUUAAUGUUUAGAUUGAAAAAACUGAAUGAUAGUAUGAAUAAGGAAUAAAAAACCAAUGAUAUGUUGUUAAAAUGUGACAAUUUUGAUUAUGCACACUAAGUGCUCGUUGAAAUGCUUGAACAAGACAUAGUCUUAAUCUAAAAUUUUAAGGGAAGUUUGGAUUUUGUGUCAUUCUAUUGGUGAUUCUGGAUCAUAUAGGAAUGGUUCUAAGUCUACUUCAAUCUCAAAUGUUUCUCAUGUUCCCUUUCUUUAUUGCUCGGCCUCCACGACCUCAUCACUCAUGACACUGCCUACUCUUCCAAGUCACCAAACAUUCUGAUUGACAAAGAAAAAAAGGGAACCAGAAGAUUGCAGGUAUUUGUCAUGGAGGGACCUUCAAUUUCUCCUUUCAAGAGUAUACCCACGAGUUGGCUCCUAUAAAAAACUCUUUAAGCUUUAGAGAUAUGAAAAGAUUGGACAAGAACAUCCAACAAUGAAUACCUAGAUGUAAUUGCUGAAUGGUAAUAUAGUGGCACCGAAGAAGGAUGCAUCAUGUGUUCCUGCACGAUUUAUCAAUGUCAAGGGCAAGAUAAACUAUGUUAUAGCCAUGACACCUUCUCUUAUGUCAGGUGUUAAAGUUGAAGGAAAACUUCAUGUGAUUAGUAAAAUAAAUGUCUUGGCAUCUCUUACUUAAAAUUAUAAUGCUAGCUUUUAACAGUUAUGCAUUAAAUUUAUGAGGAUUUGGUUUUAACAACAUUAAUAUACACUUGCACGCCAAAAGAAACAAAAGUAAGAAGAACAAGACAGUAUUCCAUGAUUUUAAAAUUUAAAAUUGGUGAAUUAUGCUUUUUUGUCCAAAUUUUAUGAUGGUUCAUGUAUUAGAUUUUUUAGUGACAAGGUUAUCUUAUUUUGUUUGUUGUGAAUAAUCAUUCGAUGAAAAAACAUUCAGAAUCACUAGGUAAAUAAUGAGGGGUAUGAAAACAUUGAUGGUCUAGAUCUAAUGGAUUUAUUUCCAUUUUUAUAAGAAUAUGCAUAACCAUAUUUUAUAUCCAA